Molecule: long non-coding RNA, 496 nt
Organism: Spinacia oleracea (spinach)
Lineage: Eukaryota; Viridiplantae; Streptophyta; Magnoliopsida; Caryophyllales; Amaranthaceae
Exons: 3
Source: RefSeq, a predicted model, not a curated record
CGCCCCCUUCCUUAUUAGCAAGGACAUGUUUUUGGCAUUGCCAAAUAGCUGCAAGGAAUUAUACAACUUGUAUAAGAAUCGAGAUGUUGAUUUCAGCGUUGAUGUUGAUUUCGAAGAGGAUAUCUUAUACUAUCCUGAUAAAGUUUCUUUUACUGCUUACGUGUUUGGUGAUGAUCUUAAGAAAUUACUGAACAUGGAAUACAUACGUACAUCUUGUGUGGAUAUCUGGAUAAGGUUUUUGCAAAACGAGAUCACGAAAAACAAGCUCCAAGAAGAAGUUGGAUUUUUUUUGUCCGCAUAAGCUAGGGCUGGUUAAACUUCGUCCCAGUAUCCACACAAAAUAUGUGAAUCAUUCAAUUACCAAGCAAAGUACGAAGAAAUAUAUACUUGCCCCGAUCCGUCAAGAUAAAUAUCAUUGGAUGUUGGUUGUGAUUUGCCUUGAAAGAGGGGAAGCCUUUUUCUUUGAUUCCAUGGCUGAUGGGUCAUUAGAGAAUUU